RNAcentral lists this ribosomal RNA (467 nucleotides) under uncultured bacterium. Its description in RNAcentral is "partial 16S ribosomal RNA". It matches the Rfam family "Bacterial small subunit ribosomal RNA", at positions 28 to 507 of the family's 1533-position model. The record is from RNAcentral.
GAUGAACGCUGGCGGCGUGCUUAACACAUGCAAGUCGAACGGAAAGGCCCAAGCUUGCUUGGGUACUCGAGUGGCGAACGGGUGAGUAACACGUGGGUGAUCUGCCCUGCACUUCGGGAUAAGCCUGGGAAACUGGGUCUAAUACCGGAUAGGACCACAUUUUGGAUGGUGUGGUGGAAAGUUUUUCGGUGUGGGAUGAGCUCGCGGCCUAUCAGCUUGUUGGUGGGGUAAUGGCCUACCAAGGCGUCGACGGGUAGCCGGCCUGAGAGGGUGUACGGCCGCAUUGGGACUGAGAUACGGCCCAGACUCCUACGGGAGGCAGCAAUGGGGAAUAUUGCACAAUGGGCGCAAGCCUGAUGCAGCGACGCCGCGUGGGGGAUGACGGCCUUCGGGUUGUAAACUCCUUUCGCUAGGGACGAAGCGUUUUUGUGACGGUACCUGGAGAAGAAGCACCGGCUAACUACGUG